This 447-nucleotide ribosomal RNA is filed under the name uncultured bacterium. RNAcentral describes it as "bacterial SSU rRNA". It matches the Rfam family "Bacterial small subunit ribosomal RNA", at positions 29 to 507 of the family's 1533-position model. The record is from RNAcentral.
AACGAACGCUGGCGGCAUGCUUAACACAUGCAAGUCGAACGGAUAGCUUGCUAUCAGUGGCGCACGGGUGAGUAACACGUGGGAACCUACCUUUUAGUUUGGGAUAACUUUGGGAAACUAAGGCUAAUACCGGAUACGCUUUGCAGCUUGGCGCUGUAAAGGAAAGAUUUAUCGCUAAAAGAUGGGCCCGCGGUGGAUUAGCUUGUUGGUGGGGUAAAGGCUUACCAAGGCAACGAUCCAUAGCUGGUCUGAGAGGAUGAUCAGCCACACUGGGACUGAGAUACGGCCCAGACUCCUACGGGAGGCAGCAGUGGGGAAUAUUGGACAAUGGGCGAAAGCCUGAUCCAGCAAUGCCGCGUGAGUGAAGAAGGUCUUCGGAUUUGUAAAGCUCUUUCACGGGUGAAGAUAAUGACGGUAACCCGAGAAGAAGCCCCGGCUAACUUCGUG